This 483-nucleotide long non-coding RNA is filed under the name Meleagris gallopavo (turkey). RNAcentral's name for it is "lncRNA (ENSMGAG00000019236.1)". Lineage: Eukaryota; Metazoa; Chordata; Aves; Galliformes; Phasianidae. The record is from RNAcentral.
CACUGCAUGAAGGUGCGGUUCUGGAGUGGCCAUUUGGGUAUCAGUAAUGAGAGAAUUCAGGGAAGGUUGCUAGUGGAAGAGAAACGAAAAUACCUCAAAUCGCACUCUGCUCUGCCCCAGGCCAUGCUGCUGGCAUGAUGCAGGACACGGAGCUGUGCUGGAGAGCCUGAGCAGCCCCAGUGAGCGUACCAGAGGCUACUGAAGGAAGAAAGUGGAAUUCUGGGCAGUUCAGAGCUGUUGAGGAGAACCUCGCAAUGCUCAACAAUUCCCGAGCAGCCUGCUGUAAAUCUUGUAGCCAGUUCAGCUUUCAGAGGGAGCCAGAAGAGAUUUGUAGAGUUUGGCAGUAGUGUCGUUCCUGAGGAAGACUGGAGAAAGAAAACUCAGAAUCACGGCUAUGAACAGCUCUUUAGAAAUGAAUGGCUAACUCGAGGAAGUCUUGCAGUGAGCAAAUCUUUGCUUGAAAUAGUUUGGGACCAAGUGUAA